UAACCCUGAGUUGCUGAUUUUACUCACAGC
RNAcentral lists this non-coding RNA (30 nucleotides) under Mus musculus (house mouse). The record is from RNAcentral. Lineage: Eukaryota; Metazoa; Chordata; Mammalia; Rodentia; Muridae.